Molecule: ribosomal RNA, 253 nt
Filed under: uncultured bacterium
Lineage: Bacteria
Description: partial 16S ribosomal RNA
Rfam family: Bacterial small subunit ribosomal RNA
Source: RNAcentral
GACGAAGGAUGCAAGCGUUAUCCGGAUUCAUUGGGUUUAAAGGGAGCGUAGGUGGUCUUAUAAGUCAGUGGUGAAAUCUCUGGGCUUAACCCAGAAAUUGCCAUUGAUACUGUAGGACUUGAGUACAGAUGCCGUUGGCGGAAUAUGACAUGUAGUGGUGAAAUACAUAGAGAUGUCAUAGAACACCGAUUGCGAAGGCAGCUGACGAAACUGUAACUGACACUGAGGCUCGAAAGUGCGGGGAUCAAACAGG